This 412-nucleotide ribosomal RNA is filed under the name uncultured bacterium. Its description in RNAcentral is "bacterial SSU rRNA". It matches the Rfam family "Bacterial small subunit ribosomal RNA", at positions 94 to 541 of the family's 1533-position model. The record is from RNAcentral.
AGCGGCGGACGGGUGAGUAAUGCGUGGGAAUAUGCCCUUUGGUAUGGAAUAGCCCCUGGAAACGGGGAGUAAUACCGUAUGUGCCCUACGGGGAAAAGAUUUAUCGCCAAAGGAUUAGCCCAUGUUGGAUUAGCUGGUUGGUGAGGUAAAAGCUCACCAAGGCGACGAUCUAUAGCUGGUUUGAGAGGAUGAUCAGCCACACUGGGACUGAGACACGGCCCAGACUCCUACGGGAGGCAGCAGUGGGGAAUAUUAGACAAUGGGCGAAAGCCUGAUCUAGCCAUGCCGCGUGAGUGAAGAAGGCCCUAGGGUUGUAAAGCUCUUUCAGAUGUGAGGAUGAUGACAGUAACAUCAGAAGAAGCCCCGGCUAACUUCGUGCCAGCAGCUGCGGUAAUACGAAGGGGGCUAGCGU